AUACGUAGGGUGCGAGCGUUGUCCGGAAUUACUGGGCGUAAAGAGCUCGUAGGUGGUUUGUCGCGUCGUCUGUGAAAUUCCGGGGCUUAACUCCGGGCGUGCAGGCGAUACGGGCAUAACUUGAGUACUGUAGGGGAGACUGGAAUUCCUGGUGUAGCGGUGAAAUGCGCAGAUAUCAGGAGGAACACCGGUGGCGAAGGCGGGUCUCUAGGCAGUAACUGACGCUGAGGGGCGAAAGCAUGGGUAGCGAACAGGAUUAGAUACCCUGGUAGUCCAUGCCGUAAACGGUGGGCGCUAGGUGUAGGGGUCUUCCACGACUUCUGUGCCGUAGCUAACGCAUUAAGCGCCCCGCCUGGGGAGUACGGCCGCAAGGCUAAAACUCAAAUGAAUUGACGGGG
This 398-nucleotide ribosomal RNA is filed under the name uncultured bacterium. Its description in RNAcentral is "partial 16S ribosomal RNA". It matches the Rfam family "Bacterial small subunit ribosomal RNA", at positions 523 to 918 of the family's 1533-position model. The record is from RNAcentral.